AGCUCAGUCAGGUAGAGCAACGGGCUUUUAACCCGUGGGUUCUCGGUUCGAUUCCGAGGGGGUU
RNAcentral lists this transfer RNA (64 nucleotides) under Candidatus Poseidoniaceae archaeon. RNAcentral describes it as "tRNA-Lys". It matches the Rfam family "tRNA", at positions 9 to 63 of the family's 71-position model. From Rfam's summary of the family: Transfer RNA (tRNA) molecules are approximately 80 nucleotides in length. Their secondary structure includes four short double-helical elements and three loops (D, anti-codon, and T loops). Further hydrogen bonds mediate the characteristic L-shaped molecular structure. tRNAs have two regions of fundamental functional importance: the anti-codon, which is responsible for specific mRNA codon recognition, and the 3' end, to which the tRNAs corresponding amino acid is attached (by aminoacyl-tRNA synthetases). tRNAs cope with the degeneracy of the genetic code in two manners: having more than one tRNA (with a specific anti-codon) for a particular amino acid; and 'wobble' base-pairing, i.e. permitting non-standard base-pairing at the 3rd anti-codon position. The record is from RNAcentral. Lineage: Archaea; Methanobacteriati; Thermoplasmatota; Candidatus Poseidoniia; Candidatus Poseidoniales; Candidatus Poseidoniaceae.